Lactuca sativa (garden lettuce) is the source of this 647-nucleotide long non-coding RNA. RefSeq lists it as uncharacterized. The record is from RefSeq and is a predicted model, not a curated record. NCBI's taxonomy places the organism in Eukaryota, Viridiplantae, Streptophyta, Magnoliopsida, Asterales, Asteraceae.
CAAACACAGGACUCUUUGUGGGUCUAAAUAAAGGGCAUGUUGUCACCAAGAAGGAAUUAGCACCUCGUCCUUCCGACAGAAAAGGGGCUUAUCAAGAUAUUCUCUAGCUUUGAGAGCUGCAUAAGGCUAAUGAUUAAAAAAAGAAAAGUGAGUCAGUAAAUGGAGAUUCUAAAGAUCAUCAUCCAAAUGCACCAAAAUUUAGAGUAAGAUCGAACCACUAUUAAUGAAGGUAUUCUACUGGGCUAGGAUGCUUGUUGUUUGGAUAUGGAGCCAUGGAAGAACUUGGACCCUUCCGUGUUAACAGUGAUGGAAAAACACUCUACCCCAACCACUAUGCAUGGAACAAUGGUGCAUGCCUAACCCUAUAAAACCUUUGCUUUUGAGGUACUAACUGUUUUCUCCUGGAAUUUUUUUUGCCUGAGAUUUUUUGCUGCCAGCUAUCCCUUCGGGACCACUCUUAUGUAUUAUGUUAAAAGCACCAAUUCAGAAAUUUGCUGAUUAUCUUUUAGGUGUUGGUGUCAAGCUUGUUGGCAAUACAGUGUGGAGUACCCUCUUUCAUCAAUUCUUAAUAGUGAUGUCACGUGAGAAAUCAUUUUUCUUUUUGUUAAACAAGUCUUUAUUAUCAUGUAUUAGGUCAUACCAUGGGU